RNAcentral lists this ribosomal RNA (497 nucleotides) under uncultured bacterium. RNAcentral's name for it is "partial 16S ribosomal RNA". It matches the Rfam family "Bacterial small subunit ribosomal RNA", at positions 28 to 507 of the family's 1533-position model. The record is from RNAcentral.
GAUGAACGCUGGCGGCGUGCCUAAUACAUGCAAGUCGAGCGAACAGAUAAGGAGCUUGCUCCUUUGACGUUAGCGGCGGACGGGUGAGUAACACGUGGGUAACCUACCUAUAAGACUGGGAUAACUUCGGGAAACCGGAGCUAAUACCGGACAAUAUUUCGAACCGCAUGGUUCGAUAGUGAAAGAUGGUUUUGCUAUCACUUAUAGAUGGACCCGCGCCGUAUUAGCUAGUUGGUAAGGUAACGGCUUACCAAGGCGACGAUACGUAGCCGACCUGAGAGGGUGAUCGGCCACACUGGAACUGAGACACGGUCCAGACUCCUACGGGAGGCAGCAGUAGGGAAUCUUCCGCAAUGGGCGAAAGCCUGACGGAGCAACGCCGCGUGAGUGAUGAAGGUCUUCGGAUCGUAAAACUCUGUUAUUAGGGAAGAACAUACGUGUAAGUAACUGUGCACGUCUUGACGGUACCUAAUCAGAAAGCCACGGCUAACUACGUG